UGGAACUCUAGCACCCUGACCCCCUGC
RNAcentral lists this non-coding RNA (27 nucleotides) under Rattus norvegicus (Norway rat). The record is from RNAcentral. Lineage: Eukaryota; Metazoa; Chordata; Mammalia; Rodentia; Muridae.